This 716-nucleotide unclassified non-coding RNA is filed under the name Hevea brasiliensis (rubber tree). Lineage: Eukaryota; Viridiplantae; Streptophyta; Magnoliopsida; Malpighiales; Euphorbiaceae. The record is from RNAcentral.
GUGCAGUGGAAAGAUAAGUUUUUCAAAAGAGAAUAAGACGAAAUAAUAAAGUUAAUCUCCCAUCCCUUUUAAGCAGCCUCGUUUUCCUAUGUUUAUACGCGGUGAUUUGUUUUUUCUUGAUGCAUACUUGUAUAUAACGGAUCUUAAUGGAUGCAUAUCCCCACCCCAUUGAACUAUCUACUCUACCUCUCUCUGUGGCUGUGUGCGACAUGAAGCAUUCUAUGCGUCUAUUUUCAGCACUUUCCCUCCUCCUCCUGCUGCUUGUGGCCGCUGAGAUGGGGCCAAUGAUGGCGGAGGGCAGAACAUGCGAAUCUCAAAGCCAUAAGUUCAAGGGAAUAUGUUUGAGCGACACUAACUGCGCUUCCGUUUGCAAAACGGAAGGGUUCACUGGAGGAGACUGUAAAGGUGCACGUCGUCGCUGCUUCUGCACUAAGAAAUGUACCUAGUCUACGAUAUCAGAUUAAAGUGGACUCAAGAGCAGAAUCUCUAAAAUUUACUGGGAAUGUGUGUGCUUGAGAAUAAUUAUAAGAAGAUUAUCUUAUGGUGGUGUCGUGUUAGUUUGUCUUUAACCGAUGCUUAAUUAUCUCUAAAUUGUAAUAACCUUAAUUAUCUUGGCUUGGCUUGGAUAAUUAAUGUCUUUCUGAGCAUAUAACUUCUCUCUUUCUCUCCUUAAUCUUUUAUUUUUCAACCUCCUCCAUAGAUCUAAUCAUAUCAUA